AUUGAACGCUGGCGGCAGGCCUAAUACAUGCAAGUCGAGCGGACGAAGGGAGCUUGCUCCUGGAUUCAGCGGCGGACGGGUGAGUAAUGCCUAGGAAUCUGCCUGGUAGUGGGGGAUAACGUCCGGAAACGGGCGCUAAUACCGCAUACGUUCUGAGGGAGAAAGUGGGGGAUCUUCGGACCUCACGCUAUCAGAUGAGCCUUGGUCGGAUUAGCUAGCUGGUGGGGUAAAGGCCUAACAAGGCGACGAUCCGUAACUGGUCUGAGAGGAUGAUCAGUCACACUGGAACUGAGACACGGUCCAGACUCCUACGGGAGGCAGCAGUGGGGAAUAUUGGGCAAUGGGCGAAAGCCUGAUCCAGCCAUGCCGCGUGUGUGAAGAAGGUCUUCGGAUUGUAAAACACUUUAAGUUGGGAGGAAGGGCAGUAAGUUAAUACCUUGCUGUUUUGACGUUACCAACAGAGAAAGCACCGGCUAACUUCGUG
This 484-nucleotide ribosomal RNA is filed under the name uncultured bacterium. RNAcentral's name for it is "partial 16S ribosomal RNA". It matches the Rfam family "Bacterial small subunit ribosomal RNA", at positions 30 to 507 of the family's 1533-position model. The record is from RNAcentral.